RNAcentral lists this long non-coding RNA (407 nucleotides) under Anas platyrhynchos platyrhynchos (common mallard). RNAcentral's name for it is "lncRNA (ENSAPLG00000020513.1)". The record is from RNAcentral. Lineage: Eukaryota; Metazoa; Chordata; Aves; Anseriformes; Anatidae.
UGAAAAUUGGCAUAGUCCUAAUAAACUAUCAGUGUCGUUCUAGAUUUACACUACCAGCUGAAUAUUGUGUUGAUUCAUAAACUUCUCUGUGCUUACCCAGUUUGAUUUGUUCCAGGUACUUAUGUUGCACUAGGACUCUGCAGCCUGGACCAUUCUGCAAUACCAAUCUCAACACCUAUGUUUUAGACGGUGUUGUGAAGAACAGUUCGGCAGCUAUCCAAGGUUGACAAUUCUUCUCUCACUUUUCUCAGCAAAAGCAGAGGCAGUACAUGAAAAUGUCUACACAGUGUUUGUUUCAGUCCCAAAUGGAAUAUUCUUUUAAGCACAUCUGUACUACCAUCUACUGGAAAGGUGAGUAACUGUGUAACAGCAAUCACUGUUUCCAUCAGCUACAGAGCCUAGAUUAA